CCUGGGGAGUACGGUCGCAAGACUGAAACUCAAAGGAAUUGACGGGGGCCCGCACAAGCGGUGGAGCAUGUGGUUUAAUUCGAAGCGACGCGAAGAACCUUACCAGGUCUUGACAUCCUCCGACAACUGUAGAGAUAGAGCGUUCCCCUUCGGGGGACAGAGUGACAGGUGGUGCAUGGUUGUCGUCAGCUCGUGUCGUGAGAUGUUGGGUUAAGUCCCGCAAGGAGCACCACCCUUGAUCUUAGUUGCCAGCAUUUAGUUGGGCAUUAUAAGGUAACUGCCGGUGACAAACCGGAGGAAGGUGGGGAUGACGUCAAAUCAUCAUGCCCCUUAUGACCUGGGCUACACACGUGCUACAAUGGAUGGUACAAAGGGCUGCCAGACCGCGAGGUCAAGCCAAUCCCAUAAAACCAUUCUCAGUUCGGAUUGUAGGCUGCAACUCGCCUACAUGAAGCUGGAAUCGCUAGUAAUCGCGGAUCAGCAUGCCGCGGUGAAUACGUUCCCGGGCCUUGUACACACCGCCCGUCACACCACGAGAGUUUGUAACACCCGAAGUCGGUGGAGUAACCCUUAAGGAGCGAGCCGCCUGACUCUGGUCGCAGCCG
Molecule: ribosomal RNA, 605 nt
Filed under: Priestia megaterium
Lineage: Bacteria; Bacillati; Bacillota; Bacilli; Caryophanales; Bacillaceae
Description: bacterial SSU rRNA
Rfam family: Bacterial small subunit ribosomal RNA
Source: RNAcentral